This 85-nucleotide ribosomal RNA is filed under the name Enterococcus sp. RIT-PI-f. RNAcentral describes it as "partial 16S ribosomal RNA". It matches the Rfam family "Bacterial small subunit ribosomal RNA", at positions 1 to 87 of the family's 1533-position model. The record is from RNAcentral. Lineage: Bacteria; Bacillati; Bacillota; Bacilli; Lactobacillales; Enterococcaceae.
UUAUGAGAGUUUGAUCCUGGCUCAGGACGAACGCUGGCGGCGUGCCUAAUACAUGCAAGUCGAACGCUUUUUCUUUCACCGGAGC